GGAGCUGCUCUGUCCUGUGUGUCUUUACAGAUGUGAAUGGUGGGGAAUGGGAUCCAGCUUCCCAGCUGGCUUCCAGGUCAGAAGGUCCGGCAAAUCGCAUGAAAGUGCCUCCAGGGAGGGCCUUGCCAAGUCGUCGGCUGGAGUCCCGCUGGCACCCCAGGGGUCCUGAGAGAUGGAAAGAGGAAUUGAAAAGAGGAAAAUACUCCCCCGUCCUAAAGGAAAUCAAGACGGAUUUUGAGAAGGCAGCUCCUGGUGUGACUGGAGGUGAAGAUGAUCCAGCUUCCCCUCUGAGUUCCGGGACUGAAACUGCGGCAGAUCACGUGGAAGUGCCCCCAGGGAGGGCCUUGCCGCGUCCUCGGCUCCUUCCUGUGCUGGAGCCCAGCUGGAAUCCCAGGGGUGAGUAGUUAGUCUUUUCUGAUU
This 420-nucleotide long non-coding RNA is filed under the name Numida meleagris (helmeted guineafowl). RNAcentral's name for it is "lncRNA (ENSNMEG00000002213.1)". The record is from RNAcentral. Lineage: Eukaryota; Metazoa; Chordata; Aves; Galliformes; Numididae.